RNAcentral lists this ribosomal RNA (253 nucleotides) under uncultured bacterium. RNAcentral's name for it is "partial 16S ribosomal RNA". It matches the Rfam family "Bacterial small subunit ribosomal RNA", at positions 524 to 776 of the family's 1533-position model. The record is from RNAcentral.
UACAGAGGUCCCAAGCGUUGUUCGGAUUCACUGGGCGUAAAGGGUGCGUAGGUGGUCGGGUAAGUCUGAUGUGAAAUCUCUGGGCUCAACCCAGAAAUGGCAUUGGAUACUAUUCGGCUAGAGGAGUGGAGGGGGGACUGGAAUACUUGGUGUAGCAGUGAAAUGCGUAGAUAUCAAGUGGAACACCAGUGGCGAAGGCGAGUCCCUGGACACUUCCUGACACUGAGGCACGAAAGCUAGGGGAGCAAACAGG